This 645-nucleotide ribosomal RNA is filed under the name uncultured bacterium. RNAcentral's name for it is "partial 16S ribosomal RNA". It matches the Rfam family "Bacterial small subunit ribosomal RNA", at positions 8 to 661 of the family's 1533-position model. The record is from RNAcentral.
AGAGUUUGAUCCUGGCUCAGAUUGAACGCUGGCGGCAGGCCUAACACAUGCAAGUCGAGCGGUAGCACAGAGAGCUUGCUCUCGGGUGACGAGCGGCGGACGGGUGAGUAAUGUCUGGGAAACUGCCUGAUGGAGGGGGAUAACUACUGGAAACGGUAGCUAAUACCGCAUAACGUCGCAAGACCAAAGUGGGGGACCUUCGGGCCUCAUGCCAUCAGAUGUGCCCAGAUGGGAUUAGCUAGUAGGUGGGGUAACGGCUCACCUAGGCGACGAUCCCUAGCUGGUCUGAGAGGAUGACCAGUCACACUGGAACUGAGACACGGUCCAGACUCCUACGGGAGGCAGCAGUGGGGAAUAUUGGACAAUGGGCGAAAGCCUGAUCCAGCCAUGCCGCGUGUGUGAAGAAGGUCUUCGGAUUGUAAAGCACUUUAAGUUGGGANGAAGGCAGUUACCUAAUACGUGAUUGGUUUGACGUACCGCAGAAUAACACCGGCUAACUUUUGGGCCACAANCCGGGUAAUCNAAAGGUGCAAGCCGUUAAUCGGAAUACUGGGCUAAAACCCCCCANGGGGUUUUNAANNGGNUGAAAACCCGGGUUAACUUGGGANUNGUUCCAAAUGGGNGNUUNAAAUUUUNANNGGGGGG